GCCUCGGCGAGCGUCGCCGCCGCGUACGGCUCCUCCGCGGUGCCCGCGGCGGCCUUCGCCGCGGCCCAGUAGCGGAUCGUCCCCGCUGCCAUGGCGCCA
Molecule: transfer RNA, 99 nt
Filed under: Streptomyces globisporus
Lineage: Bacteria; Bacillati; Actinomycetota; Actinomycetes; Kitasatosporales; Streptomycetaceae
Description: tRNA-Arg
Source: RNAcentral